UAAAGUGUAGUGUAUAGUAGUGUAGUGUAUUGUAGUGUAAAGUGAAUAUAACUGGUCACAACGGGACCCUUUGUGUUGUGCUUGCUCCUACCUUGCCCUGUCCUCAUCCCUGUCUCUUGUUACCCGCCCUAGGAGCUCCCAACCAUGAACCACCGCGAAUCCGCCUUCAUCGUAACGGUAAUGGUGGUGGCAGUGCACGUGAUGAACUCAGCAAAAAGCCCCAUUCAGCACAUGGCGGCUGUUGAAGGCGAAGAUGUGCUCCUUAACUGUUCAACAUCGUCCACAAUAUACCGAGUGCGAUGGAGAUAUGGACAGUCUAACACAACGAUAUUAUAUUGUAACAUUCAAUCUAUCACAUCCUGCAACCCACUUCUCUGCUACGUGGUUUUCUCUGGGAACCUGAGCAGUGGAAAUGGCUCCAUCACUCUGAUUUCAGUCCCAGCGAACGCGAGUGGAAUGUACCGCUGUUUUCUGGAAACAACCACAGCUGAUCGUCAUGAGAUGGUUUACAAUUUGACAGUAACUUAUCAAGGUAAUGCCACAAAGCUUGAGAUGUAAUGAAACGUCUGCAUAUAUAAAUUCAUAUUAACCAUUCACUCGAUGUAAAUAAACUACACACGUUGUGGUUUUAGUUUGUAACAAUUAUAGUGGUGCAUCGAUUAAUGUCUGAACAUCACAAAACAUUCAUAUUAUGUGUGUAAACAAGAAUCAAUUGUAUACCUGCAUGCCUGUGUUCUAUGUAUUCAGCUCAUUUUUCUCCGAAAAUACUAGAGGCCGCUUCAUUCACAACAAUGUAAAGAAAAUAGAUUCCAGAAUAAAAUCACAAUCCUUGAAUCGCAACAAUGCAUGAUACUAUUAAUCUUAACCAUAACAAAUGUUUUUUUUCUCUCUCCCAAUGUUGACUCAGAUGCACUGUAAAAUCUCAAACUAGCUCAGGCAGCUUGG
This is a non-coding RNA of Petromyzon marinus (sea lamprey), 945 nucleotides long. The record is from RefSeq and is a predicted model, not a curated record. NCBI's taxonomy places the organism in Eukaryota, Metazoa, Chordata, Hyperoartia, Petromyzontiformes, Petromyzontidae.